UUUUAUGGUACGUUUUGGGCGUAGGGCAUGCGUGACUUAAUUAGGCAGAUCUUGGGCCUAGGCUAUCUAAUAUGAUAGCCUAAGCCUAUCCAAGGGUGGAGACCCACCCAAAGAUAUCCAGAAAUGGUGUGUGUGACUUGUGAUUUGGGUAUGCAUACCCCUGAUAUCUCAUUGGCAUAUCAGGAGUAAAAAUAAAUCAAUAUUUUCACUGAUUCUUAAAAACUCAGGAUAUGAUCAAAGAUGUUCCUGAUAUGCUGCAUGUCAUAAAAAAUAUCCGGUCAGUAUAUCCCCUGAUUCAGAGCCUUUUCACCCAGUGAUGGUCUAUCACAGACAGGU
Long non-coding RNA from Alosa sapidissima (American shad), 336 nucleotides. RefSeq lists it as uncharacterized. The transcript has 4 exons. NCBI's taxonomy places the organism in Eukaryota, Metazoa, Chordata, Actinopteri, Clupeiformes, Clupeidae. The record is from RefSeq and is a predicted model, not a curated record.